CCUACGGGUGGCAGCAGUGGGGAAUAUUGGGCAAUGGACGCAAGCCUGACCCAGCAACGCCGCGUGAAGGAAGAAGGCUUUCGGGUUGUAAACUUCUUUUAAGGGGGAAGAGCAGAAGACGGUACCCCUUGAAUAAGCCACGGCGAACUACGUGACAGCAGCCGGGGUAAUACGUAGGUGGCAAGCGUUGUCCGGAUUUACUGGGUGGAAAGGGCGUGAAGCCGGAGAGACAAGUCAGAUGUGAAAUCCACAGGCGCAACCUGUGAACUGCAUUUGAAACUGUUUCCCUUGAGUAUCGGAGAGGUCAUCGGAAUUCCUAGUGUAGCGGUGAAAUGCGUAGAUAUUAGGCAGAACACCAGUGGCGAAGGCGGCUGACUGGCCGACAACUGACGGUGAGGCGCGAAAGCGUGGGGAGCAAACAGGAUUAGAUACCCUAGUAGUC
This 442-nucleotide ribosomal RNA is filed under the name uncultured bacterium. RNAcentral's name for it is "partial 16S ribosomal RNA". It matches the Rfam family "Bacterial small subunit ribosomal RNA", at positions 338 to 795 of the family's 1533-position model. The record is from RNAcentral.